Molecule: ribosomal RNA, 254 nt
Filed under: uncultured bacterium
Lineage: Bacteria
Description: partial 16S ribosomal RNA
Rfam family: Bacterial small subunit ribosomal RNA
Source: RNAcentral
GACGAACCGUGCGACCGUUAUUCGGAAUCACUGGGCUUAAAGCGCGUGUAGGCGGGACGGCACGUCCGUCGCUGAAAUCCCCCGGCUCAACCGGGGAACUGGCGGGGAUACGACCGUCCUGGAGGGACGUAGGGGGACCUGGAACUUCCGGUGGAGCGGUGAAAUGCGUUGAGAUCGGAAGGAACGCCCGUGGCGAAAGCGAGGUCCUGGACGUUUUCUGACGCUGAGACGCGAAAGCCAGGGGAGCGAACGGG